GUUUGAUCAUGGCUCAGGAUGAACGCUGGCGGCGUGCCUAACACAUGCAAGUCGAGCGAGGACUUCGGUCCUAGCGGCGGACGGGUGAGUAACGCGUGGGUAAUCUGCCUCAUACACACGGAUAACGUACCGAAAGGUACGCUAAUACGAGAUAAAGUUAAGAAAUGGCAUCAUUUCUUAAUCAAAGAAUUUCGGUAUGAGAUGAGCCCGCGUCCCAUUAGCUAGUUGGUAAGGUAAAAGCUUACCAAGGCGACGAUGGGUAGCCGACCUGAGAGGGUGAUCGGCCACACUGGAACUGAGACACGGUCCAGACUCCUACGGGAGGCAGCAGUGGGGAAUAUUGCACAAUGGGCGAAAGCCUGAUGCAGCAACGCCGCGUGAGCGAUGAAGGUCUUCGGAUCGUAAAGCUCUGUCCUCAAGGAAGAAUUUUGACGAUACUUGAGGAGGAAGCCCCGGCUAACUACGUGCCAGCAGCCGCGGUAAUACGUAGGGGGCUAGCGUUAUCCGGAAUUAUUGGGCGUAAAGGGUGCGUAGGCGGUCCUACAAGUCAGAGGUGAAAGGCUACGGCUCAACCGUAGUAAGCCUUUGAAACUGUAGGACUUGAGUGCAGGAGAGGAGAGUGGAAUUCCCAGUGUAGCGGUGAAAUGCGUAGAUAUUGGGAGGAACACCAGUUGCGAAGGCGGCUCUCUGGACUGUAACUGACGCUGAGGCACGAAAGCGUGGGGAGCGAACAGGAUUAGAUACCCUGGUAGUCCACGCCGUAAACGAUGAGUACUAGGUGUCGGGGGUUACCCCCCUCGGUGCCGCAGCUAACGCAUUAAGUACUCCGCCUGGGAAGUACGCUCGCAAGAGUGAAACUCAAAUGAAUUGACGG
Molecule: ribosomal RNA, 874 nt
Filed under: uncultured bacterium
Lineage: Bacteria
Description: bacterial SSU rRNA
Rfam family: Bacterial small subunit ribosomal RNA
Source: RNAcentral